AGAGUUUGAUCAGUGCUCAGGACGAACGCUGGCGGCGUGCCUAACACAUGCAAGUCGAGCGGAGUCAGUAAGAGGAAGUUUCGGAUGGAAUCUUAUUGAUUUAGCGGCGGACGGGUGAGUAACGCGUGAGCGACCAACCUUGCACAGGGGGAUAACGGACCGAAAGGUUCACUAAUACCGCAUGAGACCACGGUGUUGCAUGACACGAGGGGUCAAAGGAGCAAUCCGGUGCAAGACGGGCUCGCGUCCGAUUAGGUAGUUGGAGGGGUAACGGCCCACCAAGCCUAUGAUCGGUAGCCGACCUGAGAGGGUGAUCGGCCACAUUGGAACUGAGAUACGGUCCAAACUCCUACGGGAGGCAGCAGUGGGGAAUAUUGGGCAAUUGGGGGGAAACCCUGACCCAGCAACGCCGCGUGAAGGAAGAAGGUUUUCGGAUUGUAAACUUCUGUCCUUGGUGAAGAGAAGAAGACGGUAGCCAAGGAGGAAGCCCCGGCUAACUACGUGCCAGCCGCCGC
RNAcentral lists this ribosomal RNA (515 nucleotides) under uncultured bacterium. RNAcentral describes it as "bacterial SSU rRNA". It matches the Rfam family "Bacterial small subunit ribosomal RNA", at positions 8 to 518 of the family's 1533-position model. The record is from RNAcentral.